UAUUGAAGAAGCUGUGUUUUUCCCAGUGCCAGCUCUUUGCUGGCAGGUCCAGGAGAGAUGAGAGAGAGGGCCCGACCGACCCAGUCUCUCUGAGGCUGAGCAGGAUGGUGAGUGUCAACGGCCCAAAAGAAACACACCGAGCCAGGAGUUUUGUCGAAGCAGGAACUCGACUUUAUGGCAUCAGUCUCUUGAUUAUGAGAGGGAUUUUUGGUGAGGCAACUUUCCAGCACCACCCCAGCUGGAUCAUCCAGUGUCUGAGCUGCCCAGCGGCAGGGCCUGCUCUCCAGCUCUCACCAGUUUACAAGUUCUGAGAUGAUAAGUGAACCACCAUGCCCACUUGGUAUAUAUGUGGAUGCUAGGGUUUUGAAGUAAGCUGCUCAUCCAUGGAUUCAUCACCCCAGGCCUCCAUGAUGUUUUUGUAUUGUGAAGUUGCUGCUGUGCCUGCUCUACAUUACCAUCAUUAUCUGGAUAAUCCUUUAAUACCUGAUUUGCUCAUUACUUUCAUCAGAAAAGGACCAAACAGAGGGAUCUUGAUUUGGUCACUAGACCCAUGUAGCUGAGUUUUCCAGAAACUGAACGCUAACUCUGAAGUAAGAACAACAUGAGUGGCAGGGUUGAUGGAUGAAAAUCAAGUUUUGCAUCAGGGAUUUUCAGACGAGCUUUGCAUUUAGAAGAGAUUGGAGCACAAUUAAUUUAAAAACAGCCGAAGCAGUACAACAGAAAUGACACAGCAAGCUUUCCAGGACACACUCAGGAAGUAAGAGAAAAAGAACAGGGGUUAACUAAAGGGCACUGAACAAGUAAAGCUGUGCUGAAAAGAACAGUGGCCAAGGCAGGGAUAUUCUUAUACCACAAACAGUCAUGCAGAUGGAAGUCUGGCCAACAAAACCAUAAAGCAUCAUGUCUCACUGUGACUCAAUCUGUCAGCUCAAGUACAAGCCUUGAGUACACAAGUUCUUCUGCAUUCCCAAAUGCUUCCUUCUUUUGUCUCCAGUUAAAGACAUUUACCACUUUCUGGGAAGGAUUUCAACUUCAACUUUUCAUGAAAUACGAUGAGAGAUCGACUCAUGAUGGACUCAUCAGAAAUAAUUGGAGGUGGGAGGGAACAAUGUCAUCACUGACAGACUGUGCAACAACAAUUACUUGGAGCAACAGAGAGCAACGGGACAGCAGAGACCAUAUCUCCAACCAUUGAUUGUCCUUCAGGUAAACCAGGAAGUAAGAGUAACUGGACCACUGCCCCUACCUCAUAGUAGUUGGAAAGGGAAAAAUUGUACUUACCAUAUAGAGAAAAAUUUGAAAUCUUGGUAGCUUAAGUGAUCAUUUCACUCAGUAAUUCGAGUGCCUGUUGAGAUGUGUGUACAAGCUCAGACAGUCUUCCUGGGCUGCGCCAGACUACUAAAAAGCCGAUGAAGCACAUUCUUUAUUCUGCUACAAAACAAAUGUGAAAAUGUCUUGAUGAAAGCUCAGCUGCUUUGCAAAUGUACAAUGAAGGCAAAUUUAACUGUCUGGGAUUGAACGAAGCCACAGUGAAAUGAUGAGAGUGGUUGCAGGAUUUUAGGAAUUUUUGUAUUUGGAUAAAUGAGAAGAUCAACCUGUCCUGUGUUCCCCGCGUGGCUACUGUGGGCUUUGAAGAAGUUAAUGUAGAGAAAGCCUGCUCUUAUGGUGUCUCGUUUUGUUAUCAAUGAAGACUGCAUCUGGACUAGGGAUGGAGGCAGGUGUCCACUUACCUUUUCAGCUCUAGGACCCUUUCUGGUACAGAAACAAAACAUAUUGCCUCAAGUUUCCAGGAGUUCACAUAUGUAUUAAUUCUGAUGAAUUAAAGAACAUAAUUUUUGGGGUGUCCUCCAGCCCUUCUGAACUUUAUGAUUGGAAAAAUGAUUUAUAGUAGCUCAAAACUUGAACGGAAACAAAAGAUUGCUCUGCUGUGUUAUAAACAAGAUUGUGUAAGCAGUCUAAUAAAAUGGGAAAUAAAUUGG
RNAcentral lists this long non-coding RNA (1979 nucleotides) under Mus musculus (house mouse). Its description in RNAcentral is "predicted gene, 20125". Lineage: Eukaryota; Metazoa; Chordata; Mammalia; Rodentia; Muridae. The record is from RNAcentral.